This 494-nucleotide ribosomal RNA is filed under the name uncultured bacterium. RNAcentral describes it as "partial 16S ribosomal RNA". It matches the Rfam family "Bacterial small subunit ribosomal RNA", at positions 28 to 507 of the family's 1533-position model. The record is from RNAcentral.
GACGAACGCUGGCGGCGUGCUUAACACAUGCAGGUCGAACGGAAAGGCCUGCUUUCCCUUGUGGAUUGCGGGUACUCGGGUGGCGAACGGGUGAGUAACACGUGAGUGAUCUGCCCCCAACUUGGGUAUAAGCCUGGGAAACUGGGUCUAAUUCCCGAUAGGACUGCAGGGUGGUGCCUGUGGUGGAAAACGAUUUUCUAGUGGUUGGGGAUGAGCUCGCGGCCUAUCAGCUUGUUGGUGGGGUAAUGGCCUACCAAGGCGGCGACGGGUAGCCGGCCUGAGAGGGUGGACGGCCACAUUGGGACUGAGAUACGGCCCAGACUCCUACGGGAGGCAGCAGUGGGGAAUAUUGCACAAUGGGCGGAAGCCUGAUGCAGCGACGCCGCGUGGGGGAUGACGGCCUUCGGGUUGUAAACUCCUUUCGACCGCGAGGAAGCCACCUGGUUGGAAGGGUGGUGACGGUAGUGGUAGAAGAAGCACCGGCUAACUACGUG